GCGGGUUUAGCUCAGUUGGGAGAGCGUCAGACUGAAGUUCACUUCAGCCCAGUCAAUUGACAUCUGAAGGUCAUGUGUUCGAUCCACAUAAACCGCA
This 97-nucleotide transfer RNA is filed under the name Pyricularia grisea. RNAcentral describes it as "tRNA-Phe". It matches the Rfam family "tRNA". Rfam says of the family: Transfer RNA (tRNA) molecules are approximately 80 nucleotides in length. Their secondary structure includes four short double-helical elements and three loops (D, anti-codon, and T loops). Lineage: Eukaryota; Fungi; Ascomycota; Sordariomycetes; Magnaporthales; Pyriculariaceae. The record is from RNAcentral.